AACGAACGCUGGCGGCGCGCCUAAUACAUGCAAGUCGAGCGAGAAGACGGUAGCAAUACGUUUGUAAAGCGGCGAACGGGUGAGGAAUACAUGGGUAACCUACCCUCGAGUGGGGGAAUAACUAGCCGAAAGGUUAGGCUAAUACCGCGUACGCUCCUUGGUACUUCGGUUCAGGGAGGGAAAGGCGAUUACCGUGGGUAGUCGCGCUCUUGGAUGGGCUCAUGUCCGUAUCAG
RNAcentral lists this ribosomal RNA (234 nucleotides) under uncultured bacterium. Its description in RNAcentral is "partial 16S ribosomal RNA". It matches the Rfam family "Bacterial small subunit ribosomal RNA", at positions 29 to 244 of the family's 1533-position model. The record is from RNAcentral.